GAUGAACGCUGGCGGCGUGCCUAAUACAUGCAAGUCGAGCGAACAGACGAGGAGCUUGCUCCUUUGACGUUAGCGGCGGACGGGUGAGUAACACGUAGGUAACCUACCUAUAAGACUGGGAUAACUUCGGGAAACCGGAGCUAAUACCGGAUAAUAUUUCGAACCGCAUGGUUCGAUAGUGAAAGAUGGCUUUGCUAUCACUUAUAGAUGGACCUGCGCGGUAUUGGAUAGUUGGUAAGGUAACGGCUUACCAAGGCAACGAUACGUAGCCGACCGGAGAGGCGGGUAGCCCGCACUGGAGCGUGGACAGGGUCCAGAGUCCUACGGGAGGGAGCAGUAGGCAACGGGCCGCAGAGGUGGAGAACCUGACGGAGCAACGCCGCGUGAGUGAUGAAGGUCUUCGGAUCGUAAAACUGUGUUAUUAGGGAAGAACAAACUUGGAAGUAACUGUACACGGCGUGACGGUACCUAAUCAGAAAGCAACGGCUAACUACGUG
RNAcentral lists this ribosomal RNA (497 nucleotides) under uncultured bacterium. RNAcentral's name for it is "partial 16S ribosomal RNA". It matches the Rfam family "Bacterial small subunit ribosomal RNA", at positions 28 to 507 of the family's 1533-position model. The record is from RNAcentral.